GGACCUGUAUAUGGCGGCUGCAAUGCCCUG
Molecule: small RNA, 30 nt
Filed under: Bombyx mori (domestic silkworm)
Lineage: Eukaryota; Metazoa; Arthropoda; Insecta; Lepidoptera; Bombycidae
Description: piRNA piR-bmo-1462535
Source: RNAcentral